CACAGAACUGAGGAUUGAUGAGGGGCUCCUACUCCAUCAACAAAAGGGCUUCUGUGGGCCCAAGCCCACCAACACUCAGCAACAGGGGCAUAAUCCACUUUCCUCAAUAUGAACAUGAAGCAGCUAGCCAGGUCAGAGUUCUGGAACUUUCAGGAGAGCCUGCUGCCUGCCCAGAAU
Long non-coding RNA from Perognathus longimembris pacificus (Pacific pocket mouse), 177 nucleotides. RefSeq lists it as uncharacterized. The record is from RefSeq and is a predicted model, not a curated record. The transcript is spliced from 3 exons. NCBI's taxonomy places the organism in Eukaryota, Metazoa, Chordata, Mammalia, Rodentia, Heteromyidae.